Long non-coding RNA from Galeopterus variegatus (Sunda flying lemur), 517 nucleotides. RefSeq lists it as uncharacterized. The transcript has 3 exons. The record is from RefSeq and is a predicted model, not a curated record. NCBI's taxonomy places the organism in Eukaryota, Metazoa, Chordata, Mammalia, Dermoptera, Cynocephalidae.
UUGUGUGUUCCGAUCUGACAGCCCACAUGCCUCUGCUGAAUGCCUCGGCCACAGGACACAGAGCACUAAGAAGACAGAGGACAGGAUAAGCUCUCAUUUUCCCAGCCCAUCGGGAAGAGGUGAAAAAGGCAGGUUAGAAACUGAAAGUCGUUCGCAGUGUAUCCAUUUUCAUCCUGACACACCACAACACGCCGCUGGGACCCGCCAGCACAGGUACUGGAACACUGAACACAUCCGUCAACAAGUUAGUCCCCACCUCCAUCUCCAUCUUAGGGACACAAAAAGCAGCCAGUUGAAAGGUCAGAGACAAAUGUGAUGGAAAUGGUUCGCAAGUCAUCCACAAUGAACAAAAAGCAACGAGGAGAACUUGAGAACUUGCCUGUCGUGGGGUUGUUGAAUGUACACAUCUUAUAAACACACAUGGAGGGCAUGCUUCAGGCCCUCAGCAGGUGUUCAAUAAAUACCUAAUGAAUGAUAAUGUCUUGUGACUUCCAAAACAGUCUGAUUUAUUGUCCUC